GCCCAGCCCUCAACAAAGGUGUACUAACUACACACUACACUCGCCAGGGAAUUACGAGCAAUUUGCUUAAAACUCAAAGGACUUGACGGUAUUUCGAACCCCCCUAGAGGAGCCUGUCCUGUAAUCGAUAACACACGAUCCACCUAACCACCUUUUGCCCUAAACAGCCUGUAUACCGCCGUCGCAAGCUAAGCCCGUGAGGGACAAAACCCCAGCACAAUAACACACCUCUAAGCUAGUACGUCAGGUCAAGGUGCAGCCUAUAAGUUGGUAGAGACGGGCUACAUUUUCUACAUCAUAGAAAUUGGUCACGGAGAGGCCUGUGAAACCAGGACUGUCAAAGACGGAUUUAGCAGUAAAUUAGGAGAAGAGUGCCUAAUUGAAGGUGGCCCCGGAAUAUGUACACACCGCCCGUCACCCUCA
RNAcentral lists this ribosomal RNA (423 nucleotides) under Crocodylus niloticus (Nile crocodile). RNAcentral describes it as "partial 12S ribosomal RNA". It matches the Rfam family "Bacterial small subunit ribosomal RNA", at positions 794 to 1405 of the family's 1533-position model. The record is from RNAcentral. Lineage: Eukaryota; Metazoa; Chordata; Crocodylia; Crocodylidae.